This 395-nucleotide long non-coding RNA is filed under the name Populus tremula. RNAcentral describes it as "long non-coding RNA (PTRE_LNC000406)". Lineage: Eukaryota; Viridiplantae; Streptophyta; Magnoliopsida; Malpighiales; Salicaceae. The record is from RNAcentral.
ACCUUGCAAGUGAAAGUUGGUUUUGCACAUCCCAAAAGGUAAAUGGAUCCCUUCUUCUAAUGUUCUCUUUCUUUUUAUCCAUAGCACAACUGGCUUUAUAUCUCUGGACCGGCAUGCAUGCCACCGCCCCUGAAAUCAAGGAGUUGCAGGGAUGUAAUGGAAUACUGAGACGGUUAUUAAUUUUAAAAUUUAUAGAAUUAAUUAAAAUAUAUAUAAACUAAUCUGAUUUCAUAUUAAUAAUAAUAAUAAAAAGGAGGGGCGGGGAUCCUAAAGAUAAACUGUAAAGCUUACUUCAUCUGAUUCCACCCAGGAAAAUUGAAAAGCAGCCGUUUUGCUCUGUAUACGUUUUCUUCUCCUCUUCUAAGCCGAUCAUUGAAAAACGUAUUGAAAUUCGU